AGAAUAUAAGAACCUGAUUCUUAACUUUUAACUAAAAAACUAAGAACCGGCUCUUAAAUAAGAGUUUUAAGAGACGGUUUUUAACUUUUUUAUUUAAAAGUUAAGAGACGGAUUCUUAUAUUCC
This 124-nucleotide microRNA precursor is filed under the name Brassica oleracea var. oleracea. Its description in RNAcentral is "MIR9563 microRNA precursor family". It matches the Rfam family "MIR9563 microRNA precursor family". The record is from Rfam by way of RNAcentral. Lineage: Eukaryota; Viridiplantae; Streptophyta; Magnoliopsida; Brassicales; Brassicaceae.